Molecule: non-coding RNA, 556 nt
Organism: Cinara cedri
Lineage: Eukaryota; Metazoa; Arthropoda; Insecta; Hemiptera; Aphididae
Source: the annotation of a GenBank genome assembly
CCAUUUAAAUUCAUUUAAACAUUUUAUUCAUUGUCGAAUGAAAACGCAGUUUAAUUGCGGUGGUGCAGUUAUUGGUUAGGUCAAUUAUUAUAAUUAUACUACACAGUGAUGCAUAAAUGCAUAAUGCAGUUUGAAACAAUUGCUAUUACAUCUAACUAAUCAAAAACUAAUAAUUUAUAGUAUUGUAAUAGUCUGUCGAAUGCGAGUGCCUCACUAUAUUUAUUUAGGUGGUAAUUUUUUUUUUUCUUUUAACGAACCAUGUCACAACGACGUGACGCCAUGCCACAACAACAAACAUGCCAACCUAACAAAAUACGGAAAACCGUUCAAUAAAUUAAUGAAAUGAAAAUAUGUGAUAAAUAACAAAACCAUGUAUAGAACCGAAAUACAAGUGAAGUAUGUUUUUAUCAUUUAUCAAUAAUCAUUAUGAUCUACAAGGGGUGGAUCGAUUUGUUUAUUUUUCUUAAUUCAAUAAAAUCUAUCGGACUCUUUGUAAAUUCUGCAAAUAUGUCAUCCAAAUGUUUCAAAAGAACUUUUAUCGUCACCGAGCAUGUUU